RNAcentral lists this ribosomal RNA (115 nucleotides) under Candidatus Pacearchaeota archaeon ex4484_71. The record is from RNAcentral. Lineage: Archaea; Nanobdellati.
GAAGACGGCCAUAGUGAGUUGGAAACACCUGUUCUCAUUCCGAACACAGAAGUUAAGCUUCUCACGUUGUUGGCAGUAGUGUCCGACAAGACGCCAAACCUUCAAGCUGUCUUCU